UGGCGGCGUGCCUAAUCAUGCAAGUCGAGCGGACAGAUGGGAGCUUGCUCCCUGAUGUUAGCGGCGGACGGGUGAGUAACACGUGGGUAACCUGCCUGUAAGACUGGGAUAACUCCGGGAAACCGGGGCUAAUACCGGAUGGUUGUUUGAACCGCAUGGUUCAAACAUAAAAGGUGGCUUCGGCUACCACUUACAGAUGGACCCGCGGCGCAUUAGCUAGUUGGUGAGGUAACGGCUCACCAAGGCAACGAUGCGUAGCCGACCUGAGAGGGUGAUCGGCCACACUGGGACUGAGACACGGCCCAGACUCCUACGGGAGGCAGCAGUAGGGAAUCUUCCGCAAUGGACGAAAGUCUGACGGAGCAACGCCGCGUGAGUGAUGAAGGUUUUCGGAUCGUAAAGCUCUGUUGUUAGGGAAGAACAAGUACCGUUCGAAUAGGGCGGUACCUUGACGGUACCUAACCAGAAAGCCACGGCUAACUACGUGCCAGCAGCCGCGGUAAUACGUAGGUGGCAAGCGUUGUCCGGAAUUAUUGGGCGUAAAGGGCUCGCAGGCGGUUUCUUAAGUCUGAUGUGAAAGCCCCCGGCUCAACCGGGGAGGGUCAUUGGAAACUGGGGAACUUGAGUGCAGAAGAGGAGAGUGGAAUUCCACGUGUAGCGGUGAAAUGCGUAGAGAUGUGGAG
RNAcentral lists this ribosomal RNA (683 nucleotides) under Bacillus subtilis. RNAcentral describes it as "bacterial SSU rRNA". It matches the Rfam family "Bacterial small subunit ribosomal RNA", at positions 37 to 703 of the family's 1533-position model. The record is from RNAcentral. Lineage: Bacteria; Bacillati; Bacillota; Bacilli; Caryophanales; Bacillaceae.